GGGAUGUAGCUCAAUGGUAGAGCACUUGCCUAGCCCUAGCACGAGAAAGGCCCUGGGUUCAAUUCCCAGUACCAUUCCC
Molecule: transfer RNA, 79 nt
Filed under: Marmota monax (woodchuck)
Lineage: Eukaryota; Metazoa; Chordata; Mammalia; Rodentia; Sciuridae
Description: tRNA.Ala
Rfam family: tRNA (bases 5-71)
About the family: Transfer RNA (tRNA) molecules are approximately 80 nucleotides in length. Their secondary structure includes four short double-helical elements and three loops (D, anti-codon, and T loops). Further hydrogen bonds mediate the characteristic L-shaped molecular structure. tRNAs have two regions of fundamental functional importance: the anti-codon, which is responsible for specific mRNA codon recognition, and the 3' end, to which the tRNAs corresponding amino acid is attached (by aminoacyl-tRNA synthetases). tRNAs cope with the degeneracy of the genetic code in two manners: having more than one tRNA (with a specific anti-codon) for a particular amino acid; and 'wobble' base-pairing, i.e. permitting non-standard base-pairing at the 3rd anti-codon position.
Source: RNAcentral